GACGGAGGAUGCAAGCGUUAUCCGGAAUUAUUGGGCGUAAAGCGUACGUAGGCUGUUAGAUAAGUCUGUUGUCAAAGCGCGAGGCUCAACCUUGUAAAGGCAAUGGAAACUGUUUGACUAGAGAGAGAUAGGGGCAGGAGGAAUUCCAGGUGUAGCGGUGAAAUGCGUAGAUAUCUGGAAGAACACCAGUGGCGAAAGCGUCCUGCUGGAUCUCAACUGACGCUGAGGUGCGAAAGCUAGGGGGGCGAAUGGGAUAAGAGACCCCAGGAGUCCUAGCCGUAAACGAUGGGUACUAGGUGUUGGUCGUAUCAACCCGAUCAGUGCCGUAGCUAACGCGUUAAGUACCCCGCCUGGGGAGUACGGUCGCAAGAUUG
This 374-nucleotide ribosomal RNA is filed under the name uncultured prokaryote. Its description in RNAcentral is "bacterial SSU rRNA". It matches the Rfam family "Bacterial small subunit ribosomal RNA", at positions 524 to 896 of the family's 1533-position model. The record is from RNAcentral.